UGACCUGUGAUGGGAUGGGGGUGCGGGAGC
RNAcentral lists this non-coding RNA (30 nucleotides) under Rattus norvegicus (Norway rat). Lineage: Eukaryota; Metazoa; Chordata; Mammalia; Rodentia; Muridae. The record is from RNAcentral.